AGCCUGAUGAUAUUUUAUAUUAGGUAAGUUCUGCUCAAUGAUAUAAUUAAAUAGCCGCAGUACUUUGACUGUGCGAAGGUAGCAUAAUAAUUUGGCUUAUAAUUGAAGUCGGGAAUGAAUGGAUAAAUGGAUAUAUACUGUCUUAUAUAUAAUUAUAUUAAUUUUCUAAGUAAGUGAAAAUUCUUACGAAUUUUUUUAUUAGACGAGAAGACCCUUGAAAUUUUUAUAAAAUAAUAUUCUAUAUUAAUUAUUUUUGUUGGGGCGACAGGUUUACAAAAUAAACUGAAUUUUAAAUAAUAUUUAAUAAAACAAAUUUUAUUAAUAAAAAAUAAAUUACUCAAGGGAUAACAGCAUAAUUUAUUAAUAAGUUUGUGACCUCGAUGUUGGACUAGGAAAUUUUAAAUUUAGAAGAUUUAGAAUUAGGUUCUGUUCGAACUACUGUCUCCUACAUG
RNAcentral lists this ribosomal RNA (452 nucleotides) under Taenioraphe leucorhaphe. RNAcentral's name for it is "partial 16S ribosomal RNA". The record is from RNAcentral. Lineage: Eukaryota; Metazoa; Mollusca; Gastropoda; Stylommatophora; Xanthonychidae.